CCCCUAAACUGGGAUUAGAUACCCCACUAUGCUUAGCCGUAAACAUUGGUAGACCAACUACAUGCCCUACCCGCCCGGAUACUACGAGCAUUAGCUUGAAAUCCAAAGGACUUGGCGGUGCUUUAGACCCCCCUAGAGGAGCCUGUUCUACAACCGAUAAUCCUCGUUUAACCUCACCCUUCCUUGUUUACCCCGCCUAUAUACCGCCGUCGUCAGCUAACCCUGUGAAGGUUCAAUAGUUAGCACAAUUGAUAUAACCAAAAACGUCAGGUCGAGGUGUAGCGGAUGGAGGGGGAAGAAAUGGGCUACAUUCUCUUUAAUAGAGCAUACGAAUGGUGAACUGAAAACUCAUCUGAAGGUGGAUUUAGCAGUAAGGGGGAAGCAGAGUGCCCCCCUGUAAGAUGGUCUUACAGUGU
This 416-nucleotide ribosomal RNA is filed under the name Scorpaena scrofa (red scorpionfish). RNAcentral's name for it is "partial 12S ribosomal RNA". It matches the Rfam family "Bacterial small subunit ribosomal RNA", at positions 765 to 1382 of the family's 1533-position model. Lineage: Eukaryota; Metazoa; Chordata; Actinopteri; Perciformes; Scorpaenidae. The record is from RNAcentral.